Molecule: long non-coding RNA, 911 nt
Filed under: Homo sapiens (human)
Lineage: Eukaryota; Metazoa; Chordata; Mammalia; Primates; Hominidae
Description: HSALNT0399998
Source: RNAcentral
AAACAAUUGAUUUGCACCUGGGGCCACCAUCUGUGUGUAUUUGCACAACCUCCCCAUAGCUGCAUGGGUUUUCUCUGAGUACUCUAGUUUGCUCUCUCAUUCCAAAGUCAUGCACAUUAGGUUAAUUGGCAUGUCUACAUGGACUCAGUGUGAGUGAAUGUGAGCAUGGGUGUGAGUGUGCUCUGCCAUGAGAGAUUGUCCUGUUCAGGGCUGGUUCCCACCUCACUCCGUGAGCUGCUGGGAUGGGCUCUGGCCACCCAUGACCAUGAACUGGAAAUAAGCAGGUAUGGACAAGGUUCUGACCCUUAUUAUUGGAACUCAAAUCCAGAUGGAGUUUGCUCCUGGUAACCUCGAUUCUACAUUGUCUCUACAAAUUUGCCUAUUCUAGGGUACCUAAUUUGGGACUUCACAUCAUUGGAAGGUGAAUAGAAAAGUAUGUCUUAAGAAUUUCACCAUGUUUUGGAAGAAUUGCAGCAAGAAAAAAAGAACUCCUUUGUUUCCACCCCAUUUCUUUUAAGGAAAACCUGGAAUAUCUGAGGGUGCAAGCUGAGAAAAGUCUGCUUAUCUGUUCCCUACUCUGGCAAUCAAAAAGGAUCCAAGUCUACUGUUCUCUUCUCCUGGCACUCUUAACUUGCACACAUUGCAACCUUUUAUGGCAAAGUAAUGGUCAAGCUAUCCUAACAAGGACGAGCCCUUAUUAAAUAAUUCACUGUGGUUGGGAAAUGGUGAGGAAGCCAUCUUCUUUUGUCUUCUUUUCUCUGAAAAUAAAAUUUUGUCUAAUUUUGUAUUAAGGACAUUUGGGCUUCACUUUAUUACAUUCUCUACUUUCUUUAAUAGCUCGAAGCUCAUGACAGUACAUGUCUGGUCUUGCAAAACAAGAUGAAUUUGUUAAAUUAAACUUUUAAAAAAAA